GAGUUUGAUUUUUAUUAUAACAGUUUGGCCAAUAUUGUGCAUUUACGAGUGAAUUUAAAAUGAGCAUAUUCCUUACAAUACUCGUGCUUUAUAUGGCUUCUAUAAACUCAGUAUCGAAUCUAAGCGUUUGGGAUUUUUUGACUAAUCCUAGCUCUACUAUAGAAGAAGACCUUACACUAAUACAAACUUUGAAUAAGGACGGCUUGCAGUUUUUCUAUCUCAAUCAAAAACUCGGACAUGAUAAAAGAAUACAAAUGGAUUUGAAUAAUGUAUCUGCUAUAGUUAACUAUUGGAUGAAAGGUUUACCGUUAAAAGUUACUGUUCAUGGAUGGCAUGGAUCGGAGAAUGUUAUCUAUGGUGUAUAUGAAAUCAACGAUGCAUACAUCGGCCUUGGAGGGUUCAAUAUAAUCACAGUGGAUUGGAGUAGUUUUGCAAGUUACUCUGAAUAUGCAUAUUCUGCAGCCGUGGCCCUAACCGUUGGUACUGGGGUUGCCGUAUUUUUGGAAAAUGUGGUUAAUCUAACAAAAAUUUCACCAACGGAUAUACAUUUAAUUGGCUAUAAUCUCGGAGCCCACGUUGUAGGAAGAUGUGCUUAUCGUUUUCGAUUGGGGAAAAUCGGCAGAAUUACUGGAUUAGAUCCAAUCAAGAUUCUAAGAAAUAACAAAAACAUCCAUGUACCACCUUUGAACAGAGAUAACGCCCAAUUUGUCGACGUUAUUCACACUUCAGGAGGGAAAUUUGGUUACAAUGGACCUUUAGGUCACGUUGACUUUUAUCCCAAUGAGGGAAAAGUUGGUCAACCGGGAUGUCAUGAUUUAUUGUCACCAUUUUUAGAAUUACAGAAAUGCAGCCAGCAAAGAUCCUAUGAAUUUUAUAGAGAUUCUGUGAAAUAUAAUAGUUCUUUAAUUGGGACUAAAUGUAACUUGUAUGAUGAUUUUGUGUACCAUCGCUGUGAUAACAACGAAAAAAUACCUAUGGGACACAACGCAAAGCCAAGGUAUUCAAUCGACAUUCCGUGUAGCAUUUAGAGGAGUAUAUGGAAGUGUAAUACACGGUAGCGAAAUGUGUUUAGGGAAGUUUACGGAAGUUGACAUUUGCCUAGCCGGACUCGAGGGAACUAAGGCGAUGCUUCAUAGGAUCGCUGAACGCUUUCCGCACUAAAACUCACUAGCCGGAAGAGUGACGGGAUACUCCACGGAGCCUGGCCGCGGUAGCAGCUCAUUACGAUGUCUAAGUUAAGGUGGCGCUACGCGCAGAUUUUCGGGGUGCCUGGCUCCAGGGAGCUUAUCCUGGUCUUUCGCACGGAUGAGGUAACUCCACGGUUUUAUAGAGGAUCAAAGGGUCUCCAGGAUAAAAUCCGGAAGCACUUAUCAAACCCCGCAACACACGGAAACAUGUUGUAAGAAUUUGGUAGUUUGCUAGGCUACCAAAAGCUACCCACGACCAAAGGGGAACACUUCGGUCGUGACCUAUGAGCCGCACCGCGUGUUAGCCCGAAGGCUAAGUCGGUGGAACUCAUAGGCUUUGUACACGCAGUGGUGAAUGAACACCAAAGAUUUAUUUAAAAAAAGGGAAAAGAAGACAUAAUAUAAAAAAAAAUAUAAAUUAAAUAACAAAAGAAAGUUAGGGUAAUCAGAGGUAUUGUAUUUUGCAAUGAUGCACAACGUGCAAUAAUAGAUAUUUGUGAAUAAUAAUAAUAAUAAUAAUAAUAAACUGGCAAUUUCGAAAAAGAUAAUAAUUGUUGCCUCAUGGCAAUUGUUACAAAAGAGUGUAUUAUUUGGGCACAGGCGUUUAACACAUGAUAACAUACACAAUAAUGUUGGGACAUGGCAGUCAUGUGCGUAUAAUAAAAGUGGGACGGGAAUUAGGUAAAGAAUAUAUAUAUAUUUGCUUUGGACUGAGCGAACCCACGGAUCAGCCCACGAGGUUCGGCGGAACACAUAUUAUUUUUAUAUUAAAUUUUAUUCGCCAACCAUAGGGUUACCGUCCGGCAUAUCGCUAAGGACGGUAAGGAUGGGAGGUAACAAAAAAAACUGCGCCAGGCGCAACAGUUGACACAUCUUAAAAAGUUAUCCUAACGCAAAUAAAAAGGAAUAUGGGGGGGGUGGAUUUUAAUAUAUUACAAUAUUUUUGAUGGACGACGAGGCUGCUGACGGUUGACCGACGGCUGCGAUGGGCUGGCCAGAUGGCCGUCGACACACACGCGGUCGACAUGGCCCGUCUGCAUCGGUCAGUGGCUGAAAGUUGCUUCGCCCGACAUCGAGCCCGUGGUGACGUUUAGCACAUCAUGGCGUAGACACAGCGAUGUUGUAGAAAGAAAAACGAACUUCGCCGGGUAUACAUGUGUUUGUGUGGACACGUGGUUUGGACAGCUGAAUUAACGGUGAGGCUGGGCGCACGAAAAAGAGCCACGACCGGUUCAAAUGGCGGUGGAAAAAGUAGUCCGAUGGAGCUGGCUGGACGGUGGCCGGUGUUGAUAGUUGAGAUGUUGAGGUGGGGAAGUGCAGGGUAGGUGUAUUGCGGGACUUUUACAAUAAUGUGGAAUUUUGAUAACUGUACUGCGGCGAGUGCACCGACGGACGCGACAAAAACGCUGGAGGUGACGGGAGGCGGGCAACCGCGGCACGUCGACGACGAACACUGCACGAGGACGGGGGGGACGGGGGACAUUUAUUGCAUAGCACUGCGGUCAUUUCUUCAUUAGCGCGCGAUAUUCAUAACAAUAUAUGGAUAAGGUAUGUUUGUUAAUGGUACUAUAGGUACAGGUAUGUUUAUGACAUUGAUAAUAUUACUGCAAAAAAUGCUGUGACGUUACAAUGUUAAUUAAUACUAUUCACCAUA
This is an RNA transcript of Melanaphis sacchari, 2841 nucleotides long. It is a transcript of the gene named lipase member H-A-like, with no coding region annotated. NCBI's taxonomy places the organism in Eukaryota, Metazoa, Arthropoda, Insecta, Hemiptera, Aphididae. The record is from RefSeq and is a predicted model, not a curated record. The transcript is spliced from 8 exons.